GAUGAACGCUGGCGGCGUGCCUAAUACAUGCAAGUAGAACGCUGAAGGAAGGAGCUUGCUCUUUCCGGAUGAGUUGCGAACGGGUGAGUAACGCGUAGGUAACCUGCCUGGUAGCGGGGGAUAACUAUUGGAAACGAUAGCUAAUACCGCAUAACAGUAGAUGUUGCAUGAUAUCUACUUAAAAGGUGCAAUUGCACCACUACCAGAUGGACCUGCGUUGUAUUAGCUAGUUGGUGAGGUAACGGCUCACCAAGGCGACGAUACAUAGCCGACCUGAGAGGGUGAUCGGCCACACUGGGACUGAGACACGGCCCAGACUCCUACGGGAGGCAGCAGUAGGGAAUCUUCGGCAAUGGACGGAAGUCUGACCGAGCAACGCCGCGUGAGUGAAGAAGGGUGUCGGAUCGUAAAGCUCUGUUGUAAGAGAAGAACGAGUGUGAGAGUGGAAAGUUCACACUGUGACGGUAGCUUACCAGAAAGGGACGGCUAACUACGUG
RNAcentral lists this ribosomal RNA (497 nucleotides) under uncultured bacterium. RNAcentral describes it as "partial 16S ribosomal RNA". It matches the Rfam family "Bacterial small subunit ribosomal RNA", at positions 28 to 507 of the family's 1533-position model. The record is from RNAcentral.